ACAGCAGCUGUUGGGACAUCAACCUAAAGAAGAAACCAGGCUGCUGGUUGAUCAUGUAUGCGUGGGUGAAGACUAACCAAAACCUACAAAUGUUAUGUUACUACAAGACAGAAGUGUACUUUCUUCUGCUGAGUGCAGUGUACAUAUGCAGAUCACUAAAUAAAAAAGGCAGACCCAGUGCCGAAGGCUCCCACGUGAGUGGGGUCUGCAGAAGAGAUCAACCAAAGCAAGACUUUCCCUGCAAAUGCAAGAGGCUGCUUCGAACCACAACCUGGCGACUCAGUGAGGCAGGUCUCACCACUGCACCAGACUUGUCCUUCUACUCGUAAUAAGGAUAUCUAAACAAAUUCCCUCUUUCUUACUGGCCUUAGUUUAUUCCUAAUGAGCAACCAAGGCCAGUCUUAAAUUCUUAAUAUAGGUCAUUGGUACGAUGUCAAUAGCAAGUUAAGCAACUCUUCUUACCGAAAAUAAAUUGAUAGCAACUACUACAGGUUUAAACAGUUUCAGAACACUGGCAAAAAAACAUUUUGGAAUCAUAGUUUAAUCAAGACCGAUAAAGGCUGCUGCAAUGCACAGUUGCAAAACUCCUUAAACUGAAAGUAAAAUGCACAUAGUGUGUAAAACUUUUAAGUCCAAUUGGGCAUCACCACUAUUUCUGAACAUAGAACAUCCUCACAAACUAAAUGGACUCAGAAAACAACCUUUAUCUUGUAACAUAAUGGCUGCUAUUUUCGUGCAUCUGUUAUUAACAGUAUAAACUAACUCCCUGGCUGCUACUUUUUCCUGUACCUAUUAGUAACACUACAAUCUAGAUGAAAAAAUUACAGUACUGACCAUGGCAAGCAGUCGAGCUGGA
This 856-nucleotide unclassified non-coding RNA is filed under the name Zea mays. RNAcentral's name for it is "misc RNA Zm00001eb291770". Lineage: Eukaryota; Viridiplantae; Streptophyta; Magnoliopsida; Poales; Poaceae. The record is from RNAcentral.